This 486-nucleotide ribosomal RNA is filed under the name Fragilariopsis kerguelensis. Its description in RNAcentral is "partial Bacterial small subunit ribosomal RNA". It matches the Rfam family "Bacterial small subunit ribosomal RNA", at positions 1025 to 1511 of the family's 1533-position model. Lineage: Eukaryota; Bacillariophyta; Bacillariophyceae; Bacillariales; Bacillariaceae. The record is from RNAcentral.
AACUGUGAGACAGGUGCUGCAUGGCUGUCGUCAGCUCGUGCUGUGAAGUGUCGGGUUAAGUCCCUUAACGAGCGCAACCCCUAUCGUUAGUUACUAACGCGUUAUGGCGAGGACUCUAGCGAGACUGCCGGUGUCAAACCGGAGGAAGGUGGGGAUGACGUCAAGUCCUCAUGGCCCUUACACGCUGGGCUACACACGUGCUACAAUGGCGGUGACAGUGGGCAGCUACUUCGCGAGAAGAUGCUAAUCUCUAAAAACCGUCUCAGUUCGGAUUGUUCUCUGCAACUCGAGAGCAUGAAGGCGGAAUCGCUAGUAAUCGCGGAUCAGCAUGCCGCGGUGAAUACGUUCCCAGGCCUUGUACACACCGCCCGUCACACCAUGGGAGUGGGUUGCUCCAGAAGUAGAUAGUCUAACCCUCGGGAGGACGUUUACCACGGAGUGAUUCAUGACUGGGGUGAAGUCGUAACAAGGUAGCCGUAGGGGAAC